UACGUAGGGUGCAAGCGUUGUCCGGAAUUAUUGGGCGUAAAGAGCUCGUAGGCGGUUUGUCGCGUCGAAUGUGAAAACCCGGGGCUCAACCCCGGGCCUGCAUUCGAUACGGGCAGACUAGAGUUCGGUAGGGGAGUCUGGAAUUCCUGGUGUAGCGGUGAAAUGCGCAGAUAUCAGGAGGAACACCGGAGGCGAAGGCGGGACUCUGGGCCGAUACUGACGCUGAGGAGCGAAAGCGUGGGGAGCGAACAGG
This 253-nucleotide ribosomal RNA is filed under the name uncultured bacterium. RNAcentral's name for it is "partial 16S ribosomal RNA". It matches the Rfam family "Bacterial small subunit ribosomal RNA", at positions 524 to 776 of the family's 1533-position model. The record is from RNAcentral.